AGACGAUUGAAAGCUUGCUUUUGAAAGUCGAGUGGCAAACGGGUGAGUAACGCGUAGACAACCUGCCUUUGAGAUGGGGACAACAGUUCGAAAGGACUGCUAAUACCGAAUGUUGUAUAUUUUCCACAUGGAAGAUAUAUUAAAGAUGGCCUCUAUAUAUAAGCUAUCGCUCAAAGAUGGGUCUGCGUCUGAUUAGCUAGUUGGUGGGGUAAUGGCCUACCAAGGCAACGAUCAGUAGCCGGUCUGAGAGGAUGAACGGCCACAUUGGGACUGAGACACGGCCCAGACUCCUACGGGAGGCAGCAGUGGGGAAUCUUCCACAAUGGACGAAAGUCUGAUGGAGCAACGCCGCGUGAGUGAAGAAGGGUUUCGGCUCGUAAAGCUCUGUUGUCGGGGACGAAUGUGAGAUACUUGAAUAAAGUGUCUUAAUGACGGUACCUGACGAGGAA
Molecule: ribosomal RNA, 449 nt
Filed under: uncultured Selenomonas sp.
Lineage: Bacteria; Bacillati; Bacillota; Negativicutes; Selenomonadales; Selenomonadaceae
Description: bacterial SSU rRNA
Rfam family: Bacterial small subunit ribosomal RNA
Source: RNAcentral